RNAcentral lists this ribosomal RNA (427 nucleotides) under uncultured bacterium. RNAcentral describes it as "bacterial SSU rRNA". It matches the Rfam family "Bacterial small subunit ribosomal RNA", at positions 355 to 774 of the family's 1533-position model. The record is from RNAcentral.
UGGGGAAUUUUGGACAAUGGACGCAAGUCUGAUCCAGCAAUGCCGCGUGCAGGAUGAAGGCCUUCGGGUUGUAAACUGCUUUUGUACGGAACGAAAAGCUUCUGGUUAAUACCUGGGAGUCAUGACGGUACCGUAAGAAUAAGCACCGGCUAACUACGUGCCAGCAGCCGCGGUAAUACGUAGGGUGCGAGCGUUAAUCGGAAUUACUGGGCGUAAAGCGUGCGCAGGCGGUGAUGUAAGACAGAGGUGAAAUCCCCGGGCUCAACCUGGGAACUGCCUUUGUGACUGCAUGGCUAGAGUGCGGCAGAGGGGGAUGGAAUUCCGCGUGUAGCAGUGAAAUGCGUAGAUAUGCGGAGGAACACCGAUGGCGAAGGCAAUCCCCUGGGCCUGCACUGACGCUCAUGCACGAGAGCGUGGGGAGCAAACA